UUCAUGAUUUUUAAUUUAUGUUUCAUACCUAAAUUGAUAUACGCUAAUUAUACACGUAGCGAAUGUAUUAGAAACUACUUUGACGUAAAUACGAAUUUCGCGAGUUUCUUUUAUCAAAAGAACAUUUAACUAAUAUGACCUCUUUCAACGUAGAAACACAAUUUUGUACUUGCGAAAAGAUAUGAAACCCACAUCAAUUUUGAGACAUUUUCAACAAAAAUUAUCGAACUAAUUUCAACGCGGUUCUAACGAGCUCCGUUAAUAACAACGCCAGAGACGCUGUAUUCUUUCAGCCUUAAAUGUCUUAAAUAACGACGUAGAAAAUUUUAAAUAAAUUUACGAUGAGACACCGCACGACUUCUGAAAUUAGCUCCCUAACAGUAAUUAGCUUUAAACAAAAAGAGUUUCUAUGCCAAGUAAUCGUGCGAGCUCGAAGUAAAGAAAAACACAAAGUACAUACAACAUGGUAUAAUAAAACUUCAUUUUAAUAUAUUUUCUUAUUUUUAAAUGUUGAUUCAGUUAGCAAUUCUUUAUAAAAAAUAGGUUAUUCGAUUAAGUUAUACGAUUAGUUUUCAAUAUUAAAAUUAUAUUGCAAUUGGAAUUAAUUUUAUAUUAAUUUCCAAAUAAAUUUUAUAAUAUUUAUUGAGUUUGUAGUUAUCUGUAAACGGUCCAUAAAUCAAUUAAUAUUUUCAAUAUUAAGAUUAUACAAAAUAUUAUGUUGAAUUACUUUGUUUCCAGUUAAUGAAUUUAUUACUAUCAAAAUUUUUAGGAAGUACAUUGAAUAUUGUAAAUUUAUCUUGGGUAUAUUUGUACGUAUCUACUUUUUAUAGAUAAAUGAGCUUUUAAUUAUUUAUAAAACAUCAAUUAAUUCAUUAAUUUUGCAGAACUAAAUUUAUUCUGAAUAUUCUAUUGAAAUCUCUUGUUGUUAAUUGUGUAAUAUAUAAUAAAUGAGAGCUAAAUAUGUGUUUGGGUGUAUCUUGUUUAAUAAAAUAUUUUUAUUGCUUUCUAAAAUAUGAAUUGUGCAUUAUGUUUCAUAUUUUACAUAGAAUUGUACAACGUAUUUGCUUUGAUUUAUAUGCUACUGUACGCAUAUUAUAUAUCAAUAAAUUCAUGUAUGCAGUUGUAACGAUAAUAAUAGCAUCAAAAUUACGUAUAAUACAAUUCACAUGCAUAAUAUCACUAGAGGAAAAAUGUAGAAGCUUAACGGUGAAUAGUACGAAGUUAAAACAUAUUAACGUUCUAUUAAUUAUUAUGUGGUUUUGGUUACAAAAACUCAUAAAAAAAAAAAAAAUAAAUGGAAUUUCGUUCGUAUUCAUUAUACAAUUGUAAAGAGAUAUUAUAUAUCUUGAUACAAAAUGUCUGAACCGUCCGAACAGAGAUUUCAUCCGUUAUGACCUAACAUUUUCACUGAGCCCAUUCAAGAAAUCAUAGUUCAAAAACUUAUCCCCUCUAUGUAGAAAAAAAGGAAAAUGCAAGAAAACAUAGACAAUGAAAAAAUAUAAAGAGUAAAGAGAGGGUAAUUGUACGAAAUAGACGGUGGAAACUGACAUCACGAAACAUCAGUGAACUUGUUUGUUUCCUAUUAUUCGAAGGCAACACUCGUCUGUCUAUGAACCUCUAUAACGUUAGAAUAACGGGGUAUAGAGUAGCCAUAAAUGUAAAUAGGUUCCGAAGUCACUGUCAACAAUUACUAGCCGAUCUCAUUUUGCUGUGUCACGCACGGUACACGAACCGGCUGCGUGUAUGCAUAUUGGGAUGGUUAUGUACCAUCCAGGAACAGAAAUCCAUAGUUCAAGCUAUUGGCUUAUUGCGAACUUCCUCUAUAUUCGAUGGAAUUGAUACUAACGGAAUGGUUUUAUUAUUCAUUUGUUUUCUUUACAUAAUUCAUUCUUCGAUUAAAUAAAAAUUGUGCGAAUAAUUUUGUGAUUCGCUAUACAUACGCAACUAUAAUUGUAAUUCAUUUGCUUUUUAUACCUAUAAUUAAAUUUUCAUAAUUGCUAAUAUUAUAUUGAAUUCUUAUAUACAACGCACUGAAAGUAUAAAAUAAUUGUUUAUUUACAAUAAAACAUAAAGAUAUUUCCUUCAUUAUUAGUUUUGUAAUAGUUUAAUAAAUAUAAUAUAUUUGCUAUAUUAAAUUGUUAUUUCACAUCAAUAUUUUACAUAAUUGAAAUGAUAUAGAUUUAAAUAUUUAAAUAAAAUACUUCAAAUAUAAUUAUUUAUUUAUUUCUUUGUUGAACAUUUGAAACCUCAAGAGGUUUAUAGAAAAUGAUAACUGUUUAUGUUCCAUGUUAUGCCUUUAACUCGUAGCUAUUUUAGCAUAAUUGAAUACGAUACGCAACUUUAGCAAUGUAACUUACUAUUAAGUGCGAUAUUAUAAAAUAUUCAAUUUUUUUAUUUCAUAUCUGACCUCGUCUGACUUUGGUGGUCAUAAUGUACAUGUUUAAAUUCGUCUGGACAGCUGCUUUCAUAACAUACAAGAAGUAUUCUAUUUAGAAAACAUGAAUGUCGUCUUCAUAUCUCAAGAAACAUUGUAAAAAUAAAAAAUUUGCGUACGCUGUCAUGUUCCCCAUAAAAAACAUUGAAAAUUUCCCCUUUUUCACUUUUAUCGAAUGCUUGCCAUUUUUCGAGAAAAAUUCUGGUACAGUAUACUACGAGCAGUUUGUAUAAUAACAACUUUAACUUGGGACUAAUACUUAUUAUCUAACAGCGAACAACUUUACAUUUCAUCAAAUUAUUUAAAAAUUACAAACAUCUGUUAUUAUAAUGACAAGUAUAAAUGUGCAAUACGAAUAUUUUAACACUGAAAAUCGCUCAUAUGUAGGUAUAGAAAAUUUGUGAAAUAAGACUUCUCUGAAUUUCUAUAAUUAAUAUUUGACAAAAGUUACAUUCCAUUUCAUAAUUCUAAAUAUAACAUACAACUACCAUGGACAGUAAUAGCUUUAAUGAUCAUGAAUAGUAAUCAUUUUAAAUUAUAUAUUGUAAGUAAUGAUAAAUUCAACUCAUUCAGAUCGUUCAUCAAUUCGUAUCAUUAAUAACGUAAUUAAUGAUUUAAUAAGUAAUGUUAUAGUAUAAUACACUACUGAAAUCAGUUAUAAUAUUGAUAUUAUGAACGGCCCAAUUGUACUAAUUAACUGAACAAAAGCGACGAGAUCCUAUAAGGCUUAGUAGAUUAAAUAAAGAUACAUUUAUAACCUUUAUGACAAUUAAAAAAAGAAUACAAGCACAAAAGGUGGGUAUAAAACCAAAAUGACAUGAGAAGUGUCUCUCUGACUAUUUUUGGCAAUAUAAUAAUAAGUAUAUAAGCAAUGAAGGAAAGAAAGUUAAAUGAAUAUAAUUUAUUAUAGAGAGUAAAAUAAAGUGACUCCAUGCAACUGAUUCUUUUUUUUUUAUUAUUUAAUUCUUUACAUUCACAAUUUGUCCAAUUUGGAUAUUUGGUAGAAUUUUUUAGCUGUUUGAUUAUCAUGUGAAUGGCUACCCCCAGCGGGAUACCAUUUUCGUGUUUGUUAGGUUGUGUCCUUUGUGAUCAACUGAUUCUUGUUCAUACUUUUUCUUUUUCAACCUUGACCUUCAUACAACUUUCCUUCAUCUUUUAUUCUAAAGCAUAUAUGUAUGCUUCCUUUUCGUCUUAAUUACUGGUGCAAUUAUCUCUGUUGUUUGAGCAUUGCAGUAAAGGAAAAACUGCUGAAUAAAUCACAUAAAUUGUACAUUUAUUGCCUUUAUGAAUGAUGAAUAUCCUGACCUUUUUAUAACACUACGUGACACUAGACCAGGCUUUGUAUAGUAGUUUAACUAGAAAUAUCGCUUGUUUAAUGUUCAGUGAAAAAUGUUUACAACUGAAAAUACACCAAGGACACUUGCUUUCAAUACAUCCAUUGAUUUUAACAACAGAAUAAUUUGAAUUAUGUUCCAGUGUUUAUGCCACAAUGUUCGAUUUAUAGUAUUACAAUCAACUUGUUAUUUCUAUUCUUAGAUAUUUCAAAUGUUACAACAUGCAAGUUGUACUAAAAACUUUUUUUCGAUAAUUUGUUGAUCUAUUAUUAAAUUUAAAUUUAAAAAAAUAUGAAGUAUUACAAAAUUCUAUUAUUGGUGCACAAUUACAUUUUUUAUAUUCAUAGUAUUAAUUACAAUAUUGUAAAAUGUGCAAAUAAACGUAUUAUUAAAAAUUAUUCUUGUCACUAGCAAAGUGAGUUUUCCACAUUACUAUUUUUUUAUCUUUGUGCGUCGACAUGCGCAAUAGCAGGUUUUCUUAUCAGAUUAAUACCAUUCGCUCAGCAACUGCCACGCUUGUUUAUCAUAGUAAAAAGACGUUGAGUGUGAAUAGUAGCUGGAACUCGCGACAUCGUCAUCGUAACACGGGAGAACUCACAUGAAUUUAGCUUCACGAUGCUAAAAUCACUCAUUCACAACCACUCACAAUCAUUUGCAAUAGAAAUCAAUAGCAUUUGUACUGUAGUAGUAACCGUGCAUGGAUUGGAAAUCAAGUUGUGUUAAUUCGAAUUAGGUCGCAUUUAUUCUCAUUGUUCAAUUUCUUGAGGUCCUCAGGUUGAAGAGUAACCGUAGUAAAAUAUAACCUGCAUCCAUCUGAAGGAAAUGUAUUUUAUAACGGUGAAAGAAUUAUCCAAAUUGGUUGAAUAGUUUCUGAGAUUAUCUUGAACACACAUAUACAUACAUAGGCACGGAUCUCCCCUCUCUACAAUAUUAGUAGUGGAAGACGAGAGAAACACGAACAUUGAAAAUAAAAUUUAAAUAAAAACCAAAUUACAGGUAAUGAUCACUUUUUAGUGUUUAAAUAUUUCUCUUUGGAUCUUCUACAAACAAGGUAAAAUAACAAAUUAUAGAAAUUAUCAUAAAAACAUAGAACUUUUACACGAUAACAGAGACGUUACUGUCCAUAAUCGUCGAAAGCCUUUCGAAUAAUUGCAGUCGGUUAUUUGGGUAAUUACGGACAAUACGAAGUAAUUAAAAAUGAGGUUCACUUAUUAUCAUAAAUAUCACUAAUAUUUGUAGAACUGGCGCCAGUGCAGUCUUUAUAUGUCUAUUUUAAAUAUGGGAUGCAUAUUAUUCAAUCCUCCCUUGGAGGGGAAAUAUAUUUCAUUCAUUGCAAAAUAUGCAGAAAUAUUCCUCUUUUUUCAUUGUUUUUCUCUAUAUCCUUCAAAUUUUUCACAACCUUCUUUCUGUUAGUCUUUGGUUUCUACCCUAUUGGUUUAUUUUCUCUCUUUUUAGCUUGAUUUAUUACAUAUUUCUUUUUCUUCCUUCUCUUUUAUAAUUUUUAUUGGAUGGAUUUUGUUGGCAUUAAAAUUUCUAAGUGCUUCUUCCUUCUAAAUACUUUUUUGGUUUCUAUUACAGGAGUAUCCAUUAUAUCUUUCAACGCAAUAGUCUUGCCUCGUUUAUUUUGAUCGAAACAGAAUUAUUUUAACUACUAUCAUUGCAAUGUCUACUAUCAGCUGACUAUCGAAUUUAUUUAAGAUAUAAGUGACUGCUGAAAUAAAAUCUGACAUUAUUUCUUUAAAUUUAGAAUUCGUUGUGUCGGAAACCAGCUCCCUAGAUUUGUCACCGCCAAAUGAAUAAUUUAUAUAAAUUUCCGCAUAAAUAAUGGGGCAAAACCAAAUAUCAGCUAUUAUAUGCAAUAUGCAAAUUGACAUAACUUAAAAAAGAACGAUUGGCUCAAAAAAUAUUCUUGAAAACAUAAAAAAAGUACAUAUAACAUUAUUUUAAAUCAAAUAAUAACGUAUUGAAACUAAAUUUGGCACGAUAUUUUUGCUUACAAAGUUAUAAUACGAAAAUACAAUAACAAAAGUAUUUUUAAAAAAUUUCCGAAUAUAUAUUUCGUGACUUACCUUGAAAUCUACACAUAACCUAUCACCGAGAAUAUUUUUCUAGUACUGAAUGAAUUGGGUUAGUUCGCGAGCUACAACGGCGAAGAGAGAUCGCGAAUAUCAUUUAGGGGACGCCCUGAUUUAUUCGACGUCUUUUAUCAUUUGUAACUUGUCAUAGAAAUAUGUCCACAAAAGUUUAGUCGCGAACUAGACGAGCUAAUUUCGUAAUUUAUGUGCUGAAUAUAUUAUAAAAUUAAUAAUAACAUAAGUGUGCGUAAUACACACAUUCUAAUAGAUAUGAAAUAAUGCGUUACUUUAGAUACGAUUGAGUCUUUAAAUAGUUAAUACUUUCGUUUAAUUCAUAUAAAUACAAAUAAUUUUAUUUUUAAUGUAUUGUACAAUUAUAACAAUCACAUAUUCAGUUAAGAUAUAACAUCCUUAUACGUAUUACAAUAAUUAACAAUUACUUCGUUGUACGAAAUAAUUAGUAUUUGUUUUUAGUGUAUUCGCUUAAUAAAUGAAAUUUCUGCCUCAAUUUCUUAAUUUUAUAUUUUUAUGACAAUUGAAUGCAAGAUUUCACGUGAAAUUUUUCAGACCUCUUGACGAAGUUUAAUAUUACUAAUAUUGUAAUCUAAACAGUUGAUUAAAAUUAUAUUUUGAAUUAGAAAAUAUUCAACGGAUUUAAUACAUGUCACACACAAAUUAUUUUUACAUUAAUUACUUCUAAAAUUCCUGUACGCUGUCCAUUUAAAUACAGUACCAACUUUGAAAUAAAGAUUGUUGAAUAAACAAUGUACAAAUAUCAUUAUGGCAAUAAAUAAAGCUUUUGUAAUCGUUUUGUUUCUUUGCAAAAUGUUCGUUUAUUAUUAAAUAGUCUGGAACAUGUCUGGAAAACAUUAAUUACUUGUUUACUCGAUUAUUAUUUGCUAUCAAACGCAAAUACUAGCAACAUAAUUUUUAUUGGGUCUCACUGACAUUUCAGUGAAUUACAUAACUAUCCAUUGAAAUAGACCUUCAAUUGUUAUUGAAAUAAAUAUAAGACAAUUCACAUCGAGCUGCUGAGCUGUCCAGACAUAUUUACAUUGCUAAUCUAAAUCUUAACGUCAGGGUUAGUAGCAGCGCGGUCAUGCCACCUGCGGAGGCAGGGUAUGAUCCACUGCUGCAGUAAAUAAAUCCAAGCCAGGAGCGAAGAUGGUAGACACAUAUUUCUGAGCACAGAAGUUUUGGAACUAACGUCACCAAUGUUGAAUCUAACUAAAGUCACUACAAUCGAAAAUACUCAGAACAAUAGUCAACGCUCCAUAGUAUGUCAGAAACGAGGAUAUACGCAAAGACCUACAAAUACCAAUGGUCAAAGAAGAAAUCGGCAGAUACGUAAAAAGAUACAAAAAAAAAAAAAAAACAUGGCAACACAUCCAAGCCAGCUGGCUGCUGAAAUGAGCAAAACCCGUAUAAAAAAAAAGAUUAAAAAGUAAACAUCCCACUGACCUUGCUAAAGAAAUAAAAUAGGCAAAUUCGAAAAUGGUAACCCGCUGGAGGUAGCCAUCCACAUGCUAUUUAGCAAUAAGGUUAGAAAAAUUUACCAAAUGUCCCGCUGGACAAAUUGUAAAGCACAAAUUAAAAAAUAAACAAUGUUGGAUCCAAGAUAUAUAUGUCGGAGAUGAGGGGACAUCGGGGCCUUUCUUUUGGAAUUUUUGGGAAGGUCCACAAUACUUUAGUCUAGACUAUUUAUUAUAGCUCUACUUAAAUGAUAAAAUUUUGAAAUAGUUGUUAUGAUUCGAUAGUUGUUAUGAUAUGAGAUUUGUGACGGUGGGCUUGGGCUCGAGGUGACGCAACUGGUCGCCGAACGUAGCCACGGUCACGGGAUGAACGUUUUUACCUAACAGAGAAGUGUCAAUAUUGUGGGACACACGUUGUAUUAACAAUCAAACCCCGGGCAGGAGCAAUGUCAGCUCUACGCGGGUCUGCCUAGCAACGGCGGCUGGAAUUUUAUUGGUAUCCCCGGCCAAUAUGCAACGAACAAACGCGAUCGUAAGGAAAGGAAAAUUUCCAUCAAUCUUUUAUUCUUGCGAUCAGCUUGGAGAAUUUGUACAUCGUCUUUACGUGCAUUAUUAUACCGAGCGUCACAGCAAACGUUGCUUUGUGCUUCAAAAUAUAUUCUAUGUUUAACAAAGAGUUACCCUGUUGACCGUGGAUUUGUUAUUGAACCUAAGAACAUUGCCACUAACUCUCGAGUGUUUAACCACCAUGGUUAUUUGUCAAACUUUGUAAAAAUCAAUAUUUAUAUCAGUAAAUAUAAUCUCUAUUGUGCAACAACGAUGGCUAGUCCGAAUGAAGAUUCGUUACACGCCCAUAAACCUAAAGUUAACCCGACAUAUAUAUAUAUAUAAAGGGAGAGGAAGAAAGAGUUUGUGGAAUUCCCUAGAGUGGGAAAAAAUAUUAUAGAAGGCGUUAAAAGGCUGACGUUGUUGUAAGUGCCUCUGGUUUUUAUCUCGACCAGGAGUUGUACCACAUAUAUCCAAGUCAAAGGCGUCUGUUCUUAAGCAAUAGUUGUAAAAACGACCUUGACUACGUAACGGCUUGACACGACACAACAUGUGGCUCCCAAAUUCAAGGAAAGGCCAGAAUACAACACCGAAAAUACAGAGAUUCUUGAAAAGUCUAACCCAGUACCAACUUACGCAUGGGUAAUAAUAAGUAACACACAAUGAAGUAAAAAAGCAGUUAUUUUAGCUGAAUCUCCAAAGUUUGCAUCUGUAUAUACCUUGACAGUCAACAGAUCUAUCAACUCCUGUCAAGUAGGCAACAGAAUCGGAAUUCCUAGUGUAAAAACUACUCCGCAUCACCCUCCCGAUGAUGUCGCUAGUAACCAUACUAAUGCUAUUUACAUCAAAUAUUAAUAGAAAAAGAAUAUAUAUAUGUAGUUUACAGAAAGUCAUUUAUUUACCAUAUGAUAUACAUAAAAACUUACAUUAAUUCUGUAUCUUCUGUAUAUAAUAAAUCUAGCAAAAUAUUCAUUCAUUCAUUACAUAUAAUUCUACCAAAUGUCCAAAUCGGACAAAUUGUGAAUGUAAAUAACUAAAUAAAAAAAAAAAUUCAUUACAUAUAGAUAUCUGCAAAUAUUCAUUGGAAUAAAUACAGCGGAAGAAAACUUUACCAAUUCCAAUAAAGUUUAAGAUAAAAUAAUUGAUGGUGAGUUAGACACAACAGGUAGAAAAAUCCUAUUUAUAUACAGGGUGGUUGGUAACUGGUGGUACAAGCGGAAAGGAGGUGAUUCUACGCGAAAAAAGAAGUGGAAAAUAUGGAAUAAACAUUUUUUUUAAUUUUUUUUUUAAUUUUUCCAUCGAGACAACGAUCUACAGUGAGAUCCGUUAUAACGUACCGCACGCGUACUGAGCGAAAAUUCAAAGUCGAUUUUCUCGAAAAAAAGUCUCAAACGAAAAAUUUUUAUUCUAUAUUUUCGACUUCUUUUUUCGCGUAGAAUCACCCCCUUUCCGCUUGUACCACUAGUUACCAACCACCUUGUAUAUCCUAUUUGUUCUAUUUAUCCCGAAAUCCUAUUUAUAUAUAUUUUCAUCCUAAGCUUCAAUAUAAGUUCAAUAUACAAUGUUUUAUAAAGCCAAAUAAAUGGCGCAUUAAUCUUUCAAGAAAAACGUAAUUCAUUCAAUUUUCCCUCUUUUUUUCGUUGUGUGAUUUAUAUUCACGUUGUGCUCGUAAUACAUGUACUUCGUUACUAAAUGACAUGAAAUGAAAGUACGGCAUUACCAUAAGCUCGAGCUAUCGCAGUUUAAUAACUUAAUUUGGAGAACGACUUGGUAGUUGGAAAUUUUGCGCAAAACCAAAAAUUAGAACUUAAACGUAUUCGGAUAAACGUUUUAUAACGUAACUUUAAUGAGUUAUUUCCACAAUAUUUAUUAAUAUAUCAUAUGCUAGUACAUCUAUUUUUUUUCUUUUUUUAUUAUUUAAUUUAUACUUUACAAUUUGUCCAGCUAGACAUUUGGUAAAUUAUACAUCUAUUUGAAUCAUAUAGAUUACAGUUAAUGUUGAUAUGGGGAUUAAUUUAAUAUAUAUAUAUAUAUUAAUUCUACUUCAUCUAUUUUAUGUAUCUAUUUUUGAUCGUACAAAUUUUUCAAGUAAAGUGAUUAAUUUUAAAAUUAAUUUAUUUAUGAAUUAAAUUAGUUCUAUGAUAAUAAAUCCUAGUGAUCUUUACAAGAAAGAGAUUUUAGAAUUUAUAACACGAAAGUUUCAAAUACUUCGUUCACGUUGUUUAAUUCAUUGCAAUUGAAAAUAAGAUUUAUUGUCGUCGAUGAAUUUAUUCCAGUAUUUUAUGAGCAGCUAAUAUUUAUUCCUAAAUUAGUAUUUGUAAAUAAUUCACUACGUACACGCCUAUUACUACACUAGUAUGAACUUUAUAAAAUUAAAUAAAAUUAACUUAAAUAAAAAUCGGAUAAAAUUAUAUCUUAAGCGUAAUGCAUAUCAAGAAAGAUUUACAUUUUGCGUUUUCAAUACAGCAUUUUUUCUAUUAAAUAAAAAGUGUUCGUAUACUUUUAUCAUCUUUUUAACAUAACUAUGAUGCCGUAGCAAGAAAAAUUUUGUCAUUUCAGUCACUUUGUACCACUGAUUAGUCAAACAUUUGGUAUGAAUUUUUUCAAUUAAAAGUUUUAAUUAAAUUUGCCGCUCUAAUACCGUUGUAAAAUUUCCUGGCGCAUACAACACCUUCCAUUGAUCUUCGUCUUCCCGCUAGUCAAUCAGUUUUAUUACAUUUUUUCUACCUCGUUAUACGCGUGCUGGAAUUCCAGAGUGCGAAGUAUAUUACACAGUACAAUUUUAGCUUCCAUAAUAUCGUAAUUCUAUAAUAUUGGCCUCUAAUAUGAAACUUUUGCAUAUUUGAAGGAACGUUAUUUUCAAUUUUUUAGGAAAUUGAAAUUAAGAUCUUCAGAUUAAAGUCUUAGCCUAUAAUGACUCAUAAAUGAAAGGCUGUUAACAAAUUACUUUAAUACAAUGAAAAUUAAUUUUACGAUAAAUAGAAAACCUAAUAUGAUAUGUUACCUCUUGGCUAUUAAAUAGUGUAGGAACUAAAUUGAUUUAAUAAAAGAUAUACACAUAUAGUAUACAGCUUAGUGUGAUAUGUAUUACGUAUAAAACAAUUUUUUGAUUAAAAGUAUAUAUUCUCUACGUUCAAUUUAUUCUUAUGAUCUUGCAUUCGUAUAUUUACAUACAAUAAAUAUACUAAUGUAAAAAUCAAUUGAGAUCAAAGAAAUAUAUAAGAUGUAUAUAAUAUAAAAUAUACACAUAUUAAAAAGAUGAAAAUGCACAUCAAUUAUUGAAAUAUAUAAUAUGUUAUGUUGCUGCAGAAGCCUGAGUACGGAAUAGGGAAAAUGUUAGGUCCUUUCGAAAAACUCACAAAAUUUACCAACCAAUGUCGGUAUAUGUAUGUAAGUCAGAAAUAUUAUGAAAUCAAUAUUUAUUUCGUGCUGGUACCGAAAUUAAUUAUCAAACUUCAACAUUUACUAAAUAUUGAGCUGCGGCAAAUGUCAGAGGUUUCAUUUAGGGACGUGUACGUACAUAAUCGCGAUUUUGUUUGUUUUGAUGGCAAGUGACAAGAGGAUUCUUCAGUCGGGUGACAAAGUUUACACAUGUGCGACCGCAGUAAAAGCUUUUUUGUUCCAAUUUAUAUGUUAUCAUUGCUCUUUCAUACCAUUAUUGAAGCAAAAUGAGCGUAAAGGAAAGAUUCUAUGAAUAGGAAUCUGAGUUUAUGUUGUGAAAUAGGAGCAAGUAGGAGAAUCGCGCAAGUUGCUCGCUCGAAGAGAUAUGGUCUAGAUAGAUGUUACAAUUUUAAGAUUAUGAUGUUCAUAGCUUUACAAGGCUUUAUAAGGUCAUUACAGGGUAAAAUAAAUAUCGGUAUGAAGUGUCUCUCUCAAAAUCGUACAACAUUUGGUUGAACCAUUUUUUUGUUUCAUCAAUAGUUUUCGAGUUAUUUACGUGUUUUCAGAUAAAAUGGACAUACAUAUGAUAUAAAUGUUCCACUUCAUGGUAAAUAUUGACAAAAGGGGACCCAGCUCCAAUUACUUUAACCUUGACACAUAUUGUCAAGAACACUCUACUCAGUAAUCUCCAGAAGGUUUUAGUCGUCGCUCCUUAUUCCUCAAGAAGUUAUUAACAAAAAAGAUCUAUAAAAAACAAUACAUGGUAGGUAUGUAUGUAUGGUAAAGAAGCACCACAGCGUUGCUCGCUCGUUCCACUCGCUCGUAAAAAUCUAAUCCAACCUAAUAUCAAUCCUAUACGUGAGUGGAGCGAGCGAGUGAGGAACUUUAAAAAAAGAUAUUUUUCCUUAAAAAAUGGGACUCCUUUCGCUUGCAUAUGAAAUUGAUACUAGAUUGGAUAGUAGAGUAAAUUUUUAUGAGCGAGUGGUGCGGGCGAACAACGCGUACGUUGUAAAUAUAUUUUUCUUUAAAAUAAAAGCUGAGAGAUGAACGCUAGGGAGCGACAGCUAAAAUCUUCUGGAAGUUGGUUAGGAGAGUGGUCCUUGACAAUAUGUAUCAAGGUCAAGGUUAGGAUCAUUGGAGCUGGGUCCUUUUUUGUCAAUAUUACUGAUUUACAAUUUAAGAUACGAGAAUAAUAAUAAAUAUACAAAAAUUAUUCAGAUAGUAAUUAUUCAGAAGGAAAUUUUAAAAAUAUUUGAUUAAACGUAAUUAUAGAUAAAUCUGGUUUCAACUAAGACGAACAGAAUAAAGAAUCACUGAAGAAUAUAUACUAAUUGAUUGCUAAAGUUACCAAAACAAAAGAAGACGACAUAAUAUCUCAAAUAACAUUAAGUCAACCCUAAAUAACAAGGAAAUAGUAAAACAUCCUAAAGGACAUAAACCUUUUUCAAUUAAUUUAUAAUACAAAACAACAUAGAUUGUAAUUGACUUCUAGGUGAACUUGUAGAAAUGUUCCUUCCUCUGCCAUUUCGAUGAUUUUGUAGAAUUUGAUGAUGCUAUAGAAAUCAACACUUUGAACAAUUUCUUCCUAUAAAUGUAAUCGGUGAUUGGUCUCAGUUUCCAAGACAUUCGCUAAAAUCUGUCAGUGCUGCUGCACUGUAUUUCUACUUAUAAUUUUGCGUCUGUGGCAGCAUAUGUAUCAGUUUGGUUCCUAGUUACCGGUCGAUUCAUAAACGAGUGUGGGGUGAGCUUAAAGCCCCCGCACAUAACUGAACAUGACAAAAAAUGUCUAUUAUAAUAUAUAAUUAUUAUAUUAUUAUGUAAUAUAUUAUAAUAUAUUCAAUUAAAAAUAUAUCAUAUAUAAAUAUACAGGGUGUUUGGUAACUGGUGGUACAAACGGAAAGGGAGUGAUUCUACGCGGAAAAAAAAGUCGAAAAUAUAGAAUAAAAAUUUUUCGUUUGAGGUUUUGUUUUCGAGAAAAUCGACUUUGAAUUUUCGCUCGGUACGUGUGUACUUUAUCACGUCUCGUUGUCUCGAUGGAAAAAUUAAAAAAAAAAAAAAUUUUAUUGUAUA
Long non-coding RNA from Bombus huntii, 13312 nucleotides. RefSeq lists it as uncharacterized. The record is from RefSeq and is a predicted model, not a curated record. Lineage: Eukaryota; Metazoa; Arthropoda; Insecta; Hymenoptera; Apidae. The transcript is spliced from 2 exons.